This 434-nucleotide ribosomal RNA is filed under the name uncultured bacterium. RNAcentral describes it as "partial 16S ribosomal RNA". It matches the Rfam family "Bacterial small subunit ribosomal RNA", at positions 29 to 507 of the family's 1533-position model. The record is from RNAcentral.
AGCGAACGCUGGCGGCAGGCCUAACACAUGCAAGUCGAACGAACCUUUCGGGGUUAGUGGCGGACGGGUGAGUAACACGUGGGAACGUGCCUUUAGGUUCGGAAUAACUCAGGGAAACUUGUGCUAAUACCGAAUGUGCCCUUCGGGGGAAAGAUUAAUCGCCUUUAGAGCGGCCCGCGUCGGAUUAGCUAGUUGGUUGAGGUAAUGGCUCACCAAGGCGACGAUCAGUAGCUGGUCUGAGAGGAUGAUCAGCCACAUUGGGACUGAGACACGGCCCAAACUCCUACGGGAGGCAGCAGUGGGGAAUCUUGCGAAAUGGGCGAAAGCCUGACGCAGCCAUGCCGCGUGAAUGAUGAAGGUCUUAGGAUUGUAAAAUUCUUUAACCGGGGACGAUAAUGACGGUACCCGGAGAAGAAGCCCCGGCUAACUUCGUG